CCGUAACCCACUCAGAGGGGGAGUAACAACUUGGAAACAGGUGCUAAUACCGCAUAACAGUUUAUGCCGCAUGGCAUAAGAGUGAAAGGCGCUUUCGGGUGUCGCUGAUGGAUGGACCCGCGGUGCAUUAGCUAGUUGGUGAGGUAACGGCUCACCAAGGCCACGAUGCAUAGCCGACCUGAGAGGGUGAUCGGCCACACUGGGACUGAGACACGGCCCAG
RNAcentral lists this ribosomal RNA (221 nucleotides) under uncultured bacterium. RNAcentral describes it as "partial 16S ribosomal RNA". It matches the Rfam family "Bacterial small subunit ribosomal RNA", at positions 119 to 334 of the family's 1533-position model. The record is from RNAcentral.